GUCCUUGUCGAUUAGUGGUUAGAUCAUCACAUUGUGGUAUUUGCAUGCCAGGAUUCCAGCCAUGCGAUUACGUAAUAUCUGUGAAGACACAGGCUCGAAUCCUGUCUGGGACA
Non-coding RNA from Cristinia sonorae, 113 nucleotides. NCBI's taxonomy places the organism in Eukaryota, Fungi, Basidiomycota, Agaricomycetes, Agaricales, Stephanosporaceae. The record is from the annotation of a GenBank genome assembly.